GAUGAACGCUGGCGGCGUGCCUAAUACAUGCAAGUCGAGCGAACGGACGAGAAGCUUGCUUCUCUGAUGUUAGCGGCGGACGGGCGGGUAACACGUGGAUAACCUACUUAUAAGACUGGGAUAACUUCGGGAAACCGUAGCUAAUACCGGCUAAUAUUUUGAACCGCAUGGUUCAAAAGUGAAAGACGGUCUUGCUGUCACUUAUAGCUGGAUCCGCGCUGGAUUAGCUAGUUGGUAAGGUAACGGCUUACCAAGGCGACGAUGCGUAGCCGACCUGAGAGGAUGAUCGGCCACACUGGAACUGAGACACGGUCCAGACUCCUACGGGAGGCAGCAGUAGGGAAUCUUCCACAAUGGGCGAAAGCCUGACGGAGCAACGCCGCGUGAGUGAUGAAGGUCUUCGGAUCGUAAAACUCUGUUAUUAGGGAAGAACAGAUGUGUAAGUAACUGUGCACGUCUUGACGGUACCUAAUCAGAAAGCCACGGCUAACUACGUG
Molecule: ribosomal RNA, 497 nt
Filed under: uncultured bacterium
Lineage: Bacteria
Description: partial 16S ribosomal RNA
Rfam family: Bacterial small subunit ribosomal RNA
Source: RNAcentral